RNAcentral lists this ribosomal RNA (374 nucleotides) under uncultured eukaryote. RNAcentral describes it as "partial 18S ribosomal RNA". It matches the Rfam family "Eukaryotic small subunit ribosomal RNA", at positions 592 to 976 of the family's 1831-position model. The record is from RNAcentral.
CAAGAGCGUAUGUAAAAGUUGUUGCAGUUAAAAAGCUCGUAGUUGAACCUUGGGUUUGGUUGGCCGGUCCGCUUUUUUGCGAGUACUGGAUUCAACCGAGCCUUUCCUUCUGGCUAACCAGUCGUCUCGGCGGCUGGCGAACCAGGAUUUUUACUUUGAGAAAAUUAGAGUGUUCAAAGCAGGCAUUAGCUUGAAUAUAUUAGCAUGGAAUAAUAGAAUAGGACGUUAUGGUUCUAUUUUGUUGGUUUCUAGGACCAUCGUAAUGAUUAAUAGGGACGGUCGGGGGCAUCAGUAUUCAGUUGUCAGAGGUGAAAUUCUUGGAUUUACUGAAGACUAACUACUGCGAAAGCAUUUGCCAAGGACGUUUUCAUUAA